GUCCACGCCGUAAACUAUGGGUGCUAGCCGUCAGGAAGCUUGCUUUUUGGUGGCGCAGCUAACGCAUUAAGCACCCCGCCUGGGGAGUACGGUCGCAAGAUUAAAACUCAAAGGAAUUGACGGGGGCCCCGCACAAGCGGUGGAGCAUGUGGUUUAAUUCGAAGCAACGCGCAGAACCUUACCUACCCUUGACAUGUCUAGUAUGGGCACCAGAGAUGGAGCUCUUCAGUUCGGCUGGCUAGAACACAGGUGCUGCAUGGCUGUCGU
This 267-nucleotide ribosomal RNA is filed under the name uncultured bacterium. RNAcentral's name for it is "partial 16S ribosomal RNA". It matches the Rfam family "Bacterial small subunit ribosomal RNA", at positions 793 to 1055 of the family's 1533-position model. The record is from RNAcentral.